GAUGAACGCUAGUUACAGGCUUAACACAUGCAAGUCGAGGGGCAGCAUGGUCUUAGCUUGCUAAGGCCGAUGGCGACCGGCGCACGGGUGAGUAACACGUAUCCAACCUGCCGUCUACUCUUGGACAGCCUUCUGAAAGGAAGAUUAAUACAAGAUGGCAUCAUGAGUCCGCAUGUUCACAUGAUUAAAGGUAUUCCGGUAGACGAUGGGGAUGCGUUCCAUUAGAUAGUAGGCGGGGUAACGGCCCACCUAGUCUUCGAUGGAUAGGGGUUCUGAGAGGAAGGUCCCCCACAUUGGAACUGAGACACGGUCCAAACUCCUACGGGAGGCAGCAGUGAGGAAUAUUGGUCAAUGGGCGCAGGCCUGAACCAGCCAAGUAGCGUGAAGGAUGACUGCCCUAUGGGUUGUAAACUUCUUUUAUAAAGGAAUAAAGUCGGGUAUGGAUACCCGUUUGCAUGUACUUUAUGAAUAAGGAUCGGCUAACUCCGUGCCAGCAGCCGCGGUAAUACGGAGGAUCCGAGCGUUAUCCGGAUUUAUUGGGUUUAAAGGGAGCGUAGAUGGAUGUUUAAGUCAGUUGUGAAAGUUUGCGGCUCAACCGUAAAAUUGCAGUUGAUACUGGAUAUCUUGAGUGCAGUUGAGGCAGGCGGAAUUCGUGGUGUAGCGGUGAAAUGCUUAGAUAUCACGAAGAACUCCGAUUGCGAAG
Molecule: ribosomal RNA, 703 nt
Filed under: uncultured Bacteroidales bacterium
Lineage: Bacteria; Pseudomonadati; Bacteroidota; Bacteroidia; Bacteroidales
Description: bacterial SSU rRNA
Rfam family: Bacterial small subunit ribosomal RNA
Source: RNAcentral